Molecule: ribosomal RNA, 253 nt
Filed under: uncultured bacterium
Lineage: Bacteria
Description: partial 16S ribosomal RNA
Rfam family: Bacterial small subunit ribosomal RNA
Source: RNAcentral
UACGUAGGGGGCAAGCGUUGUCCGGAAUCAUUGGGCGUAAAGCGCGUGUAGGCGGCUCGGUAAGUCUGCUCUGAAAGCCCGGGGCUCAACCCUGGGAGGCGGGUGGAUACUGCUGAGCUCGAGUCCGGAAGAGGCGAGUGGAAUUCCUGGUGUAGCGGUGAAAUGCGCAGAUAUCAGGAGGAACACCAAUGGCGAAGGCAGCCUUCUGGGCCAACACUGACGCUCAUGCACGAAAGCGUGGGGAGCAAACAGG